GAUCAUGGCUCAGGAUGAACGCUAGCUACAGGCUUAACACAUGCAAGUCGAGGGGAACGAUAUUGGAAGCUUGCUUCCGAUAGGCGUCGACCGGCGCACGGGUGAGUAACGCGUAUCCAACCUGCCCACCACUUGGGGAUAACCUUGCGAAAGUAAGUACUAAUACCCAAUGAUAUCUCUAGAAGACAUCUGAAAGAGAUUAAAGAUUCAUCGGUGAUGGAUGGGGAUGCGUCG
Molecule: ribosomal RNA, 234 nt
Filed under: uncultured bacterium
Lineage: Bacteria
Description: partial 16S ribosomal RNA
Rfam family: Bacterial small subunit ribosomal RNA
Source: RNAcentral